CAGGGGCACCGCAUGGUGAUAUUUGUUAAAGAUUUAUUGGUGAUAGAUGGGCAUGCGUUCGAUUAGCUAGUUGGCGGGGUAACGGCCCACCAAGGCGACGAUCGAUAGGGGAGCUGAGAGGUUGAUCCCCCACACGGGCACUGAGAUACGGGCCCGACUCCUACGGGAGGCAGCAGUAGGGAAUAUUGGGCAAUGGAUGCAAGUCUGACCCAGCCAUGCCGCGUGCCGGAUGAAGGCCCUCAGGGUUGUAAACGGCUUUUAUUCGGGAAGAAGAGCAGGGAUGCGUCCUUGUGUGACGGUACCGAAUGAAUAAGCACCGGCUAACUCCGUGCCAGCAGCCGCGGUAAUACGGAGGGUGCGAGCGUUGUCCGGAUUUAUUGGGUUUAAAGGGUGCGUAGGUGGCUGUUUAAGUCAGUGGUGAAAUACGGUUGCUCAACAAUCGAGGUGCCAUUGAUACUGAAUAGCUUGAAAUAAUUGGAGGCUGCCGGAAUGGAUGGUGUAGCGGUGAAAUGCAUAGAUAUCAUCCAGAACACCGAUUGCGAAGGCAGGUGGCUACGAUUGGUUUUACACUGA
Molecule: ribosomal RNA, 573 nt
Filed under: Dyadobacter fermentans
Lineage: Bacteria; Pseudomonadati; Bacteroidota; Cytophagia; Cytophagales; Spirosomataceae
Description: bacterial SSU rRNA
Rfam family: Bacterial small subunit ribosomal RNA
Source: RNAcentral